CUGGUGAGGAUGCCUACCAGGCUUCGACGGGUAGCCGGCCUGAGAGGAUGGCCAGCCACAUUGGGACUGAGAUACGGCCCAGACUCCUACGGGAGGCAGCAGUGGGGAAUAUUGCACAAUGGGCGCAAGCCUGAUGCAGCAACGCCGCGUGAGGGAUGACGGCCUUCGGGUUGUAAACCUCUUUUAGCAGGGAAGAAGCGAAAGUGACGGUACCUGCAGAAAAAGCGCCGGCUAACUACGUGCCAGAGCCCGCGGCCGA
Molecule: ribosomal RNA, 259 nt
Filed under: uncultured Microbacterium sp.
Lineage: Bacteria; Bacillati; Actinomycetota; Actinomycetes; Micrococcales; Microbacteriaceae
Description: partial 16S ribosomal RNA
Rfam family: Bacterial small subunit ribosomal RNA
Source: RNAcentral